ACGUAGCCCACGAAGGGAUCUCGCUGGGUUCUCGGAGGUGGCCCCAGAGCUUUCCGAGGGCCGAGAGCGUGGGCGUGGAGGGAAGGAGGGGCCUAGUGGGCGGCAGGCCCACCCCUUUAUUCGUGGCCUGCGGCUCCGCUGAGCGUGACCAGAUGUGUUGGUGACAGGUUGCUACUCAGAGGUGCGGACAGGAGCUGAGCGCUGCUGCUGUCGGAGCAGACGCGGCGUUCCCGGGUUGUGCUCAGCCCUUGCAGCUGCCAUAGGCUGGAGAAGUCCAGCGCACCGCCUAGGCAAGCCAGCUGACGCCGGGGGCACAGACCACCCUCCACUGAGUGCGGAGCAGCCAAGGGAACUGUUAAGAGGAGACAAGAAGAAGACCACUUCCAGUUUCCAGACAUGGCUGAUGGGGGCUACCCUAAUAAAAUUAAGAGGCCUUGCCUUGAAGAUGUCACCCUUGCUAUGGGCCCAGGCGCUCAUCCUAGUACUGCCUGUGCAGAACUGCAGGUCCCUCCAAUGACAAUGAAUCCUAGCCCUGCGGCUAUGGGAGUGGCUGGCCAGUCGUUACUGCUGGAGAAUAACCCUAUGAAUGGCAACAUCAUGGGCUCACCAUUUGUGGUACCACAGACUACAGAAGUGGGACUGAAAGGGCCCGCUGUUCCUUACUAUGAGAAAAUCAACAGCGUGCCGGCUGUAGACCAG
This 699-nucleotide small RNA is filed under the name Pongo abelii (Sumatran orangutan). RNAcentral describes it as "processed transcript". Lineage: Eukaryota; Metazoa; Chordata; Mammalia; Primates; Hominidae. The record is from RNAcentral.